RNAcentral lists this microRNA precursor (73 nucleotides) under Myotis davidii. RNAcentral describes it as "mir-9193 microRNA precursor family". It matches the Rfam family "mir-9193 microRNA precursor family". Lineage: Eukaryota; Metazoa; Chordata; Mammalia; Chiroptera; Vespertilionidae. The record is from Rfam by way of RNAcentral.
CUCGGGAGGGGGGGUCCCUCAGCCCAGAUUGCAAGAGGGUGCAGGCCAGGCCAAGGGACCCCACUGGUGCACA